UCCUACGGGAGGCAGCAGUGGGGAAUAUUGCACAAUGGGCGAAAGCCUGAUGCAGCGACGCCGCGUGAGGGAUGACGGCCUUCGGGUUGUAAACCUCUUUCAGCAGGGACGAAGCGAGAGUGACGGUACCUGCAGAAGAAGCACCGGCCAACUACGUGCCAGCAGCCGCGGUAAUACGUAGGGUGCGAGCGUUGUCCGGAAUUACUGGGCGUAAAGAGCUCGUAGGCGGUUUGUCGCGUCGUCCGUGAAAACUUGGGGCUCAACCCCAAGCUUGCGGGCGAUACGGGCAGACUUGAGUACUGCAGGGGAGACUGGAAUUCCUGGUGUAGCGGUGAAAUGCGCAGAUAUCAGGAGGAACACCGGUGGCGAAGGCGGGUCUCUGGGCAGUAACUGACGCUGAGGAGCGAAAGCGUGGGUAGCGAACAGGAUUAGAUACCCUGG
This 441-nucleotide ribosomal RNA is filed under the name Rhodococcus (subgen. Prescottella) equi. RNAcentral's name for it is "Prescottella equi bacterial SSU rRNA". It matches the Rfam family "Bacterial small subunit ribosomal RNA", at positions 337 to 790 of the family's 1533-position model. The record is from RNAcentral. Lineage: Bacteria; Bacillati; Actinomycetota; Actinomycetes; Mycobacteriales; Nocardiaceae.